RNAcentral lists this non-coding RNA (44 nucleotides) under Trypanosoma brucei brucei. Lineage: Eukaryota; Euglenozoa; Kinetoplastea; Trypanosomatida; Trypanosomatidae. The record is from RNAcentral.
AAAACUAAAUCAUAUAGAUCGAAAAAUGAUAGACUGUGUAAAUU